UCCAGACUCCUACGGGAGGCAGCAGUGGGGAAUAUUGCACAAUGGGGGGAACCCUGAUGCAGCGACGCCGCGUGGGUGAAGGAGCACCUCGGUGCGUAAAGCCCUAUCGGCAGGGAAGAAAAGCGAACAGGUUCGCCUGGACGGUACCUGACUAAGAAGCCCCGGCUAACUACGUGCCAGCAGCCGCGGUAAUACGUAGGGGGCAAGCGGUAUCCGGGUUUACUGGGUGUAAAGGGGGCGCAGACGGCGAUGCAAGCCAGGAGUGAAAGCCCGGGGCCCAACCCCGGGACUGCUCUUGGAACUGCGUGGCUGGAGUGCAGGAGGGGCAGGCGGAAUUCCUGGUGUAGCGGUGAAAUGCGUAGAUAUCAGGAGGAACACCGGCGGCGAAGGCGGCCUGCUGGACCGUGACUGACGUUGAGGCUCGAGAGCGUGGGGAGCAAACAGGAUUAGAUACCCGCGUAC
This 462-nucleotide ribosomal RNA is filed under the name uncultured bacterium. RNAcentral describes it as "bacterial SSU rRNA". It matches the Rfam family "Bacterial small subunit ribosomal RNA", at positions 330 to 793 of the family's 1533-position model. The record is from RNAcentral.